AACGCUAGCUACAGGCUUAACACAUGCAAGUCGAGGGGCAGCAUGGUCUUAGCUUGCUAAGGCCGAUGGCGACCGGCGCACGGGUGAGUAACACGUAUCCAACCUGCCGUCUACUCUUGGACAGCCUUCUGAAAGGAAGAUUAAUACAAGAUGGCAUCAUGAGUCCGCAUGUUCACAUGAUUAAAGGUAUUCCGGUAGACGAUGGGGAUGCGUUCCAUUAGAUAGUAGGCGGGGUAACGGCCCACCUAGUCUUCGAUGGAUAGGGGUUCUGAGAGGAAGGUCCCCCACAUUGGAACUGAGACACGGUCCAAACUCCUACGGGAGGCAGCAGUGAGGAAUAUUGGUCAAUGGGCGAGAGCCUGAACCAGCCAAGUAGCGUGAAGGAUGACUGCCCUAUGGGUUGUAAACUUCUUUUAUAAAGGAAUAAAGUCGGGUAUGGGUACCCGUUUGCAUGUACUUUAUGAAUAAGGAUCGGCUAACUCCGUGCCAGCAGCCGCGGUAAUACGGAGGAUCCGAGCGUUAUCCGGAUUUAUUGGGUUUAAAGGGAGCGUAGGCGGACGCUUAAGUCAGUUGUGAAAGUUUGCGGCUCAACCGUAAAAUUGCAGUUGAUACUGGGUGUCUUGAGUACAGUAGAGGCAGGCGGAAUUCGUGGUGUAGCGGUGAAAUGCUUAGAUAUCACGAAGAACUCCGAUUG
Molecule: ribosomal RNA, 694 nt
Filed under: uncultured Bacteroidales bacterium
Lineage: Bacteria; Pseudomonadati; Bacteroidota; Bacteroidia; Bacteroidales
Description: bacterial SSU rRNA
Rfam family: Bacterial small subunit ribosomal RNA
Source: RNAcentral